GUCUUAGGCUGGCCAUGUACUGUGUGGGUAUUGUGUACUCUUAAGACCUUAACAGCUUAACGGUUUUUCAUUUUUAUCUUCUGAGUAUGUAACUUGUAAUGGGCAUCUAUCCAGUUAACUUGUUCUGAGUAAGGGUGUUGGUCAUGUGAAUGUCAUUACAAGGUACUUUGAUUCUAAAUAGGGAGGCUGGGCCAGAAGAGGUGGUGGCCCCUGGAAAUUCUGAACUAGAGGAAUCUCAACAUGUGUUUCUUGCCAGGAUCCUUGGACCCAAAGCACAGAAUCCC
Molecule: long non-coding RNA, 284 nt
Filed under: Bos taurus (domestic cattle)
Lineage: Eukaryota; Metazoa; Chordata; Mammalia; Artiodactyla; Bovidae
Description: long non-coding RNA NONBTAT009255
Source: RNAcentral